Molecule: ribosomal RNA, 617 nt
Filed under: uncultured bacterium
Lineage: Bacteria
Description: bacterial SSU rRNA
Rfam family: Bacterial small subunit ribosomal RNA
Source: RNAcentral
CCUACGGGAGGCAGCAGUGGGGAAUUUUGGACAAUGGGCGCAAGCCUGAUCCAGCAAUGCCGCGUGAGUGAAGAAGGCCUUCGGGUUGUAAAGCUCUUUUGUCAGGGAAGAAACGGCUGAGGAUAAUACCUUCGGCUAAUGACGGUACCUGAAGAAUAAGCACCGGCUAACUACGUGCCAGCAGCCGCGGUAAUACGUAGGGUGCAAGCGUUAAUCGGAAUUACUGGGCGUAAAGCGUGCGCAGGCGGUUUUGUAAGUCUGUCGUGAAAUCCCCGGGCUCAACCUGGGAAUUGCGAUGGAGACUGCAAGGCUGGAGUCUGGCAGAGGGGGGUAGAAUUCCACGUGUAGCAGUGAAAUGCGUAGAGAUGUGGAGGAACACCGAUGGCGAAGGCAGCUCCCUGGGUCAAGACUGACGCUCAUGCACGAAAGCGUGGGGAGCAAACAGGAUUAGAUACCCUGGUAGUCCACGCCCUAAACGAUGUCUACUAGUUGUCGGGUCUUAAUUGACUUGGUAACGCAGCUAACGCGUGAAGUAGACCGCCUGGGGAAGUCGGUUCGNAAGNUUAAAACUCAAAUUGAGUAGAGCGNGAGAGNGCGAGACGACGACGAGGAGGAGG